GGAAUAAGUCCAUAUUCCACCUAGCUACAGAGAGCAGUGUUAAGAUACCUUCAUGCUACUGGUGCAUGUGACUGAGCUUCUGUCUAAUCCAGGAUUUUGCCCUGGGUGGUAAAAUCACUCAUUUCUGUGCUUGUAUAAGGAACACAAAGACAUUUCAGAAUCCUGCCAACACAGCUCAGAAUAGAGUUGGGAAUUUCCUUUAGAUUACAAUUGAACGACCUGAAAAGAACUCCUUCCUGAAAUGGUGACUCAGCAAAUAGGUCAAGAUACAAAUUUAUGUAUGAAUAAUGAGACACAAAAUAAGUUCCACCCUGGAGUAGAUACAAACUUCAAUUGCCUCUUACUCCUAGAGACCUUCAUCAUUAUUAUUUCUCUGUUCAUAAAGGAAUAUCGUGAUAGUGGAGCAAGGAGGGAAGAAACUAAGCAAAAGACAGAACUUGAGAAAAGUAAUGGAGCACUUCUGGAAGAAAUUGGAGCACUUCUGGAAGAAAUUGGAGAACUUCAUGGAAAAAUUGGUGAUAUUCCAGUGAAGGAGGAAUGAUUGAUAUUGUGAAUUCCAGAUGAAGACAUGUCCUCCCUGCUCUCAUAGUUUAUUUACUAAUUUAGUUCCUUUUGAAGGAAGGGGUAGAAGGAUGUAAAACAUUGCCACUGAUUGGUGAAAUAUCGUCUGGAACCUCAAGGUUCCAAUUUCAACAAAUACGAGUCCACUUGGACCACAGAGUAAAUUAGGAAACAAGUUCCAAUUUUUGAUCUCCUCCUUUCCUGACAUUGUGUUUUCAUUGGAAUAAACUGUUUUUUCUUCCUUUUAUUUUAGAGGAGAAUGAAAAUAAAACAAAUACCAGUAAUGUAUUCCAUUGUGUACCUUGUCAUUUUCUCAUAUAUUUUUUGUACCCUUGCCUUUGUCAUAAUGAUCAUCUACCUCAAUUCAAAUGUAUACAUCAUUUUAUGAUUUGUCUCAGUAUCUUACCUUUCCAAAUCAUCGUCUCUUCCUAUCAAUAUUUCCAUUAUUGUCUCUUUCAUUUGUCUUGUUUCAAUCAAGGAGGCAUCAUCUUUCUGACAAAUGAAUUCAUUAGUAAGAUGUGUGUAAAGCUGAAAUAUUUUUAAAGUUCUAAUGUGUUAGUUUUAUCCAAGAAGGAUUCACUUGAUUUAGAACCCUCUUCAUUGCUUCCUCUUCCUUUCCUACUAUGUAAUUUAGAAAUGAUGAGAUUUUUCUCACAAGAUGGGUAUGAGAUGACAUUAUUUUCUUUUUUCUGUGAAGAAAAUUGUACUAACAGGCAUCUAAAUUUAGAAAAGUUACAAUGUGGGAGACAGAGAUGAGUAUUAAUAGAUGUUUUAGACUAUCAAAUACAAAGAAGAUGGAAAAAGGACUACACAGUGGAUAUACAUGCCAAAGAGAUUUCCUCCAAGAAUAUAAGGCAAGGGCAGCCCCAGUAGCCCAGUGGUUUACCGCCGCCUUCCACCCAGGGUGUGAUCGAGUCCCACAUCGGGCUCCCUGAAUGGAGCCUGCUUCUCUCUCUGCCUGUGUCUCUGCCUCUCUCUCUAUGUCUAUCAUGAAUAAAUAAAUAAAUAAAUAAAUAAAUAAAUAAAUAAAUAAAUCUUUAAAAAAAAAAGAAUAUAAGACAAAACACCCCAGAUACCGAAGCAAACUUGAAAAAAGAAAAGCAAAUUGGAAACAUGAUUCUGAGCUUCAAGUUAUAUUACAAAACUGAACAAAACAGUAUGAUGCUGGUGCAAAAAUAGAUACAUAGAUCAAUGGAACAGAAUAGAAAGCCCAGAAAUGAUCCCACAAUUAUAUGGUCAAUUAAUCUUUUACAAACAAAAAAGAAUAUCCAAAAGAAAAAAGACAGUCUCUUCAACAAAUUCUGUUGUAAAAACUGGAUGGCAACAUGAAGAAGAAUGAAACUGGACCACUUUCUUACAUCAUACAUAAAAAUUAAUUGAAAUUGAAAAUGGACAAAAGACCGAAAUAUGAAAUAGGAAACCAUUAAAAUUGGUGAGGGGAACCAAGUCAACAACCUCUUUGACAUCAGCCAAAACUUCUUUCUAAAUGUGUAUCUGAGGCAAUGGAAACAAAAGCAAAAAUACUGGGACUUCAUCAAAAGAAAGGCGUCUGCACAUUGAAGGAAACAAACAAAAAGUGAAAAGGAAGAAGAUAUUUGCAAAUGACAUAUCUGAUAAAGGAGUAGUGUCCCAAAUGUAUAAAGAAUUUAUAUGACUCAACACCAAAAAAAUAAAUAACUCAAUUAAAAAAUUUGUCAGAAGACAUGAAUAGAUGAAGAAGACAAACAGAUGGCCAACAAACACAUGAAAAGUUGCUCAACAUCACUCAUCAUAAGGGAAAUACAAAUCAAAACUAUAAUGGGAUCCCACCUCACACCUGUCAAGUGGCUAAAAUCUAAGUAACAACAGGUGCUGGCAGGGAUGUGGAGAAAGGGGAACCCACACGCAUCGUUAGUGGGAAUGCAAACUGAUGCAGGCACUCUACAAAACAGCAUAGAGGUCCCUCAAAAAGUUAAAAAUAGAGCUACCUUAUGAUCCAGCAACUACACCACUAGAUAUUCACCCAAAUAAUACAAAAGUAUGAAUUCUAAGGGAUACAUGCACCCUAAUUUUUACAACAUUAUCUACAAUAGUCAAACUAUGGAAAUAGCCAUGUGUCCAUCAACUGAUGAAUGGAUAAAGAAGAUGUGAGAUAUAUACAUAUAUAUCAAAUGAAAUAUUACUUAGCUAUAAAAAGGAAUGAAAUCUUGCCAUUUGCAAUGAUGAGGAUGUAGCUAGAGAGUAUUAUGCUAAGCAAAGUAAGUCACUCAGAGAAAGAUGAAUAUGAUUUCCCAUAUGUGGAAUUUAAGAAAGAGAACAAAUGAACAUGGGGGAUAAAAAAGCCAGAGAGAGGUGAUCAAGAAACAGACUAUUAAGCAUACAUAACAAAUUUUUGGUUACCAGAGGGUAACUCAUGGAGAUGGGCUAACUAGAUGACAAGGAUUAAGGAGUGCACUUGUGAUGAAUAGCUGGUGUUGUAUGGAAGUGCUGAAUCACUAAGCAUACACCUAAAACUAAUAUUACACUAUAUAUUAACUAAUUUGAAUUUAAAUAAACUCUUAAAAAAGAGAAUGUAGGACAAUUAAAAGUCCUACAUACACAAAAUCUUGGAAUCAUAUAAAUUGUAUAAGGAUAUGAUUGUAUCCUUUCAAUUACUGCUUUUUACAAAAUGUCAAUUUAAUAAGUGAGCUAAUCUUUUGAAAUUUCCACGGAAGUUUCCUAAGGGAUGUCAAUAAAGCAUAAAGCCACAUUUUAGGGAAAAAAUAAAAUGAGUGUUUAAAACACACUCUUCUAACAUUUUGUUUAUACAAUCAGCAUUCAUUUUCCUCUAUAACUCAUCUUAAAAAUUUCAUUUCUUCCAAAUAUAUGAGUCAGUAAUCAACAUACAUUAUAUUUUCUGUUUGUUUUUAAAAGAUUUAUGUGCUGAGAAAUUCUCUGCUUAAUUGUAAAUUACUGGAAAUAGAAAGAUUUUAGUUAAAGCUCAUAACUUACUACUUUGACCUUCUGAAGUAAAUGAUAAAAUCCAAGACGAUAGAUUUUUAAAGCUAUUUUGGAAAGUCCUACCAAUUAACAGCUAAAUUAAAGUUUGUUAAAGUCAAAGAAUUAGAAAUAAUUUGAAUUGCAAAUGAUUAUACCCAGUCUCAGUCAGUGACAUUUUCUAAAAAGACCUUUUCAGGGGCACCUGGGUGGCUCAGUUGGUUAAGCGUCUGCCUUCAGCUCGGAUCAUGAUCCCAGAGUUCUGAGAUUGAGCCCCACUUCAGGGUCUCUGCUCAUGAGGGGACCCUGCUUCUCCUACUCUCUCUCCCCUGCCUCUCUCUGUUACUCUGUCUCUUGAAUAAAUAAAUAAAAUCUAAAAAAAAAAAAAACAUUUUAGGAUUUAUACAUAGUUUACCACUAAUUAUACAAAUAAUGUUUUCACUUAAAGGCAUCUUAUUUAGCCUGACAAAAAAAAGAAUUUUCAAAAUUAAUAAUCUACUUCAAUAAGCUACUAACAAGUUAACAUUUCUUAGGAAAUUAUGUUAUUAAAUAUAUAUUUUGGUCUAAACUUGAAUUAUUUAUAUACAUAAAACUGUCUAGAAGACAAAUAUGUUAGAUGAAAUUCUAGUAAUUCCUCUUUCCACAUCUUCAUCAUUCUUCUCUUAUUCAGUUAAUUGUCGAAAAAUUGUUCUCACUUUUCUAAGAUAAAAAUGUACUUAAUUGCUAUUUUUUUCAUGUUCUGUUUCUUGGUUUUGGGUUUGUUUGUUUCUGAUUGCAUUUAUGUUACCAAUAUGGUGUGCACUGAAAAUUUUCAACUCAUUUUCAUUUUCUUUGUUAGUUUUCCUUGACAUUUACUGACAUUUACAUGAGUUUUUUUCUUUUUGAGAAGGACUUCGGCAGGAGCUUGGUAACUUUCUUCUGGCAUUCUUUUUACUGAUGUCUUCCCUAAGAAUAUUUUUUUCUUUGCUUCCUUUCGUUCCUUUGAUUUAUUCUUAGGCUUCUAUCUUCCAGAUGAUUGUCAUAAUUUCAUUAUAAGUUUGGUGAGAUGAGGUGAUUAGGCUAAGAAGAAGUGGUUUUCUCCAUUUAAUAGAAAACUGCCCUUUAAAUUGAGUCCCCCAACAUGUGUUCUGAGACAAAGUGCCCAUCAUUUUGUAUAUAAUAUUGCCCCAGUUCUUAAUGGAUGGGUUCAGACUCCAAAGUUGCCAAGUGUGAGAAGUUCCUCCUUUUGGUGGCCUUUUACACACUUUGCAUAUUACUGACAUCAAGUGAAACCUUGACACAUGAGAGUCUCCUUCUCUUGACCAUAUUUCAAGUGGUCCAAGGUAUGUAAGUAUUUUUGGAUGCUUUGCCUGCUUACUGUCCCUUUCCAGUCAUAGUUAUUACUCCUCUUUCAUUUUUACUUGAAUUCAUUUAAUUAUUAAUUCAAUAAAUUGCUCUUCCUUCAUCCACUUUUUUCACUCAAAAUUCAUUGAUGACAUAUCACUAAAGUCUAAGGCAAUUUUCUAAGAUAUUCCUACACUGAUCACAUAAGAAGAAUUAUUUAAAUCUUCAUGUCCUACACUGUAUAGUAUACAGAUUGUAUUUUGCAAAUUGUAGUGAAGUUUUUACAUGGAAUGUACUUUAGAGAUUCCUUUAAUUGAUUUUGAAAUGAAUUUUGCUUGGCCAAUAUGCAGACACAAACAUUUAACUGUGUCUUCCUUAAGAUGUUAACAUCUAUAACAUACAUGUGUGUUUAUGUCUUUUCUCUCAGCUAGGAGGAAGGCUCAAUACAAGUUCG
This 5293-nucleotide long non-coding RNA is filed under the name Canis lupus familiaris (dog). RNAcentral describes it as "lncRNA (ENSCAFG00000056899.1)". The record is from RNAcentral. Lineage: Eukaryota; Metazoa; Chordata; Mammalia; Carnivora; Canidae.